AGGACGAACGCUGGCGGCGUGCUUCAUACAUGCAAGUCGAACGAGGUCCAUCUGGUGGCAACACCAGGGAAGACCUAGUGGCGAACGGGUGCGUAACACGUGAGCAACCUGCCCCGAAGACCGGGAUAACAGCGGGAAACCGCUGCUAAUACCGGAUGCCCCCACGGAUCCGCAUGGACCUGUGAGGAAAUGGGUUUCCGCUUCGGGAGGGGCUCGCGGCCUAUCAGCUUGUUGGCGGGGUAACGGCCCACCAAGGCGACGACGGGUAGCUGGUCUGAGAGGACGAUCAGCCACACUGGGACUGAGACACGGCCCAGACUCCUACGGGAGGCAGC
This 335-nucleotide ribosomal RNA is filed under the name uncultured prokaryote. RNAcentral's name for it is "bacterial SSU rRNA". It matches the Rfam family "Bacterial small subunit ribosomal RNA", at positions 26 to 352 of the family's 1533-position model. The record is from RNAcentral.